AGUGAACGCUGGCGGUAGGCCUAACACAUGCAAGUCGAACGGCAGCCCAUUAAGAGCUUGCUCUUACGGGUGGCGAGUGGCGGACGGGUGAGGAAUACAUCGGAAUCUACUUUUUCGUGGGGGAUAACGUAGGGAAACUUACGCUAAUACGGCAUACGACCUACGGGUGAAAGCAGGGGAUCUUCGUACCUUGCGCGAUUGAAUGAGCCGAUGUCGGAUUUGCUAGUUGGCGGGGUAAAGGCCCACCAAGGCGACGAUCCGUAGCUGGUCUGAGAGGAUGAUCAGCCACACUGGAACGGAGACACGGUCCAGACUCCUACGGGAGGCAGCAGUGGGGAAUAUUGGACAAUGGGCGCAAGCAUGAUCCAGCCAUACCGCGUGGGUGAAGAAGGCCUUCGGGUUGUAAAGCCCUUUUGUUGGGAAAGAAAAGCAGCAGGUUAAUACCCCGCUGUUCUGACGGUACCCAAAGAAUAAGCACCGGCUAACUUCGUG
Molecule: ribosomal RNA, 492 nt
Filed under: uncultured bacterium
Lineage: Bacteria
Description: partial 16S ribosomal RNA
Rfam family: Bacterial small subunit ribosomal RNA
Source: RNAcentral